AAGCAACCACCCAUGUUUUGCUUUUUCAUUCUGUGUGGAGACCUGCUCGCGUGCUGUACGGUGCUCCGCGGCGCGGUUUGAGUUUAUGCGUUUUUUCUUCUUCCUUCGAUUCAUCGUUCGGGCCGGACCCCGCGCGGUCGUCGAUUGCAGUGCGCGUCUUUCGGUGGUGUUGCUUUUUUUUUCUCGGUGGUUUCGCGUGAUGUAAAGUGUUCGAGUACCGUAUGAUAAUUGCAAGUGUGCUCGACUCCCGUGCAAUUCCUGCAUUGUACCUAGGAAGGAAAAGGUGUCAUUCGGUGGUGCGUUACUUUAGCCAUGGUAAUCGACGCUAUGCGAAUUUUGUAGAAGGUGUGCAUUCUUGGAUGUGUGUGCUUACAGCGUUGCCUUGAAGAAGCGAGAAAAAAGUGCGUUCAGUGCACUUCCAGUGUACCAUCGGAAGAUUACUUAUCGCCUGUUUUCCCCCAGUGUUGUUCUUCUCAAUGUUCAACAGUGCUAGUGAAACAAUUCAGUCUUACAUAAUUCACAAACGGCAGUGUUGCAUUUUGUCACUCUGGGAAAAAAGUGGAAGUGAGAUUCGGCUGACAAGUCAUCCAACGAUUGUUACUUCGCUAUAAUCCCAACCAAAAAUUCCAACUGAAAGUUGAGUGAAGUGCAUACAGUGACAGUGAUCUGAAAAAAGAAUCGAUAUUUUCGAUAAAGUGUCCCUCAAGCCUACAGGUGAUUUCCUAGCGCCAAAACCCAUUUGCGAUUUCGCACCACCAUCCCCGGUAAUGAUCACGCCCGCAUGCCGCCCCGGAUCGGUGUGACUUCCGCGUGAAUGCACUCCAAACGGAAGCGUAAGCGCAAGAAGCGAUCGCAACGACUGCUGUUGGUGCCUUCUGCUGCAGCAUCACCACCUCCACCAGCAGCAACUCACUACUAGAUACGAACCAAAUCGCAGCUGCUGACAGCAUUUAAACUACUGGAUCGACCACAGCGCCUAAUGUUCCUGCUGGGAUGGGUCCUGACGUUGGGCUUGGUUGGCACAACCAGUCCGCUAAGUGUGAUUCCACCUCAAACGCAGCAACAGCUGCAGCAGCCACUGCAGCAUCCUCUGCCGGACGGAACCAAGGAACAGUCGGCGGCGAUUCCCUCGGGGAUCGGCAGUCCCAAUGGGUUGAUCAUCGAGGAUUCCCCGAUCGCUCCCUCCUCGCAGUACAUCGUCCAGAAGGAUGUGUGGAGCGGGGGAGCAGGUGGCGUUGCGGGAGGAGGAGGAGGAGGUGGUAGCAACUAUCAUAAUCAUCACCACCACAACCACAAUCAGUCCCCCUCACAGUCAUCAUCCUCUAGUGAUUCUUCUUCUUCUUCCAGUAGUAGUGGUAGUAGUAGCCCUAGCGAUGAUCCCCGUCGAUCCCCACUGGUUCCCGAUCGUAACGAUACUUUCCGUUAUUCCGUUGUCCCAGGGGCAGGCGGUGGCGGUGGAAGCGGAUCCUCCAGCCUUUUCGCUUGGACCACGUUUUUCAGCGGGAACGAGUGGACACUGAUGGAGUGCUUUUCGCUGCGACGAUCGCACCAUUUGUACUAUCAGAUCGGGAAUGGGUUGUUUCUGUUGGCCUUUCUGGCCCCGAACGUUCCCUUCGGGAUGCUGUGGCUGCGCUGUCUGGUGAUCGCCGGAUGUGUGCUGAUGAUCAUCUGGGGCUGGCAGGUGGAGUGCACCAUGGAUGCGGUCGUGUGGGCCAGCCUGUUCCUCAUCAUCAACGCGAUCUACGUGGGAGCGUUGCUGUGCAAGCUGCGGCCGGUGAGGUUCGAGAAGGAGAUUGAAGCGGUAUAUGGGGCACUGUUCAAACCACUGCGGGUGUCCCGGCAUCAGUUCAAGAAGGUUCUGAACUGCAUGAAACUGGUCCGGUCGCUCAAGUACCAGGAGAUCUACGCCCAGGAGAAGGUCACCAAGGUGGACAGCCUGUCGCUGGUGCUGUCGGGGAAACUGGUAGUGUCCCAGAAUCAGAAAGCCCUGCACAUAGUCUUCCCCCAUCAGUUCCUGGAUUCGCCGGAGUGGUUUGGUGUGUCCACGGAUGAUUACUUCCAGGUCUCAAUUAUGGCGAUGGAGGAGUCCCGGGUCCUGAUCUGGCAUCGGGACAAACUGAAACUGUCAAUUAUGGCGGAACCCUUCCUGCAGGCCGUGUUCGAUCACAUCCUGGGUCGGGAUGUAGUGAAAAAGCUGAUGCAGGUCACGCAGGUCAGCGAAACGAUGGCCCAGAGCAACGGGUACAUUUCGUCCGGUUACGGUGAUGACGCCGAGGACAAACCGAUGCUGAUGAUGAAGGGUAAAUCCGGAGACAGCAAUGGUAUCGGUGGAGCCGGUAUUGGUGGUGGCGGAGGAGGACAUGGUAUCACAGCCCUCAUUAAUCGGCAGCUGCAGGAAGAGAGCCUUCCGCUGCUGCUGAACAGUGCCAACCCAACGCCACUGAUGUCGCUACAUAUGCGUCUGCUGCACUCCGUCGAAAACAAGUUCAUCAAAAAGAUCUACGACGUAUGACAGCGAAGAGAGACAGAGCACAUCAGCAAUAACAAAAACAACAACCGGAAGAAACAACACACCCAAAUCGUAUUUGUCUAGUCCCUCAAAUUUGCUAGUUCAGUUUGAGUUUUUCACACGUUUUCAUGGAAUGGAUGUUUUCUUCUGUACGAGUUUAAUUAAUAUAUUUUGAGUGUGCGAGAUAGAAGCGAACGGAGUUGGAUAGACCUCAUCGAACAACGAACCAACGAUGGAUCCCAGUGCAACGUGCAACGUGCAACGACUAUUUUGUAACAUAGUUCUUUGUUUUAUUUUUGUAACCUGUUUUAAACAUCAGUUCUUUUGCUCUGCCUAGGAUAUCCAAAUACUACUAUUGUGCAGCGGAUCCGAACGCGUGGCGUCUAGGCCGAAUCGACGAAACGGACCACGAGACGGCCGUUUAAUAUUAGCCCCGAAGGUGUGCCCCCGAUGACCACCUCUCCAUCACAAUCAUCACCACCACCACCAUCACUACAAGCUCAGCGUAGCCCAGCUCCUGCCUGCCGGGUGAUUUGUUGUGCUACACCGCCAUCAUCCCACUGGAUGUGUGAACUGGUUCGAGAGCUGCUGGAGUGCACCCGAACACAGGGGUGUGCACCGAAGCUGUGCUGUGUCCUUUUUACUGCAUCCUCUCUAGGUACUCAAGAAAUCAAUAAUUAAAAAUUAAAGAAAAACAAAAAGGAUUAAGCUAUUACUACGCCUUUCGGAAAGCUGAGAGCAAAACCCGUUUUUAGAUCUAUAGGUUAUAGCGAAACCAAACUCCAUAUUUUCUCAGCUUAGUUCCUGCGUUCUCCGUUGUACAAGUUCGAUAGAAAAUAAAUUAUAUUUACAUGUCUAGUUGUAACAAACAAAAAUAAAUAACAAACAGCAGAAAAAAAAGAAACGUUUAUUAUUUUUUCUGAGUCUGAGUCUAUGAAAAACAAAAAAAAAAUUACAAUCGAUUUACCAUUGACUGUAGCAAAGCAAUCGGAUAAAAUGUGUAAAUGUUCAGCUGUGUAAACUAGUAGGCGGUAACAAAUUCGAAGAGAAUAGAAUCAGAAGCCUUCCGGCAAAUCCUCUCUUGUAAUUUAGUAUGUAUAGACAGGAGUUAAUGAUGCCGCAAAAGAAAAAUCAGUCAGAGUUCAAUCAGUCAGUAAAAAACAGUCACAGAAGUGUAGUUUCAUUGUUACAAAAUAGAGAAAUCAAAUAACUCUUGAUGUUUAAAGUUAUAUUUAGCAGAGAACAACAAACGUAACAAAACGAUAUAUAGUGCUUAGGCGUCGGUGCAAUGGAAUGAUGUUUUUUUUUGUCUGUGAAUGUGUGAUGCGGGGAAGUGGUUGGAAUCGGAGGUGCAGUUGUUUUUAUGUAACACUGUUUUAGUCGUAAGCAGGAAUCAAUAACGAUUAAAGAAAAUUUUGGAAGUCAGGAGAAAAAAAAGAAUGAAAUAGACAUUGUUGGUAGUUGUAGAUAGGAAACAAACAGGAUGGAUAGGAAGAAUAAUGUGAAAGGUCCCUUCUAUUUUUCAAGGUCGAACCAAAAUAUCGAAAACAUCAACACUUUCAAUAUUAGCUACGGCAACGCCUACUCUUUUUCGCCAAAUGUGAAAUUAAUGUCGCUUUUGUUUGAAGCUGAAACUGACGCAAUAUCUAACUGGCAGCAAGUUAGUAUCAGUUACUGACGAGUGGAACACGAAACAUUGAAGAUCGAAAAUGAAUUCUCCGAAGUUUCCUUUCUAUGAGUUGUUCUACAAGAAACUUGCUCUAUUCCAACAAAAAGAAGAAAAAAAACGAAAGGCAUUUGUUGGACGAACUUUUUUGCGAGAGAGUUAAAAGUUGAUGCAAAAACAUGGCAAUCAAAUGCAUUUUUUUAAUUGCAUGGAAGUCUGUUAUUCAUUCGUAGAGUGAUCUGUCCCUAUAUUCGAAGCCAAAACCCUGAAUCCUGAACUGAUAGCAAAGUGAGGUUUAACCUCAGUGUCAUGCAGGUACUAUGUAGAGUAACUAGACCAUUUUGAACUUAGCUUCUAUUCUCAAGAUGCCGCUCGAAAAAUUCCAACAUGUCUUCACUGAUGGUCGUCUUCGGAAAGGCGCAAACCGGAUCCUCCUCUACAUUAGCCAUGAAAUAAAACUGAUACAAGAGGAUAAUAAAUAAGGAUCGUAAAAUUCGUACCGAUUACAGAGAAAGGAAACCAAUAAUGAAACUAAUCACAAAGAGAAUGAAGUUAAUUCCAAUUAAAUUCUAAUAUUGCUAAAUAUGAUGCCUGGAGAGAUCGUCGCGAGAGAGAUAGAGAUUAAAGAGAGUACAUUUUAUGAUUGCGAAUAAAAGAGAACAUUUAUAGAUAAGUUAAAUGUAAACAUGCUGAACAGAGCGAAGCAGAUAAAGUUGGAGAAAAAAACGAUACAAAAACUAUGUGACAUAAGUGUUGUUUGAAAUAAAACGAAGAGAAACCGAGUGAAGCAAUCAAUUGUGCGGAGAGAUUAAUUAAACCAUUCGGAUUGAAGAGUAAAGAUAUUUUAAAAUAAAUCCGUUGCGUUGCCUU
Molecule: RNA transcript, 5045 nt
Organism: Topomyia yanbarensis
Lineage: Eukaryota; Metazoa; Arthropoda; Insecta; Diptera; Culicidae
Gene: bves
Exons: 10
Source: RefSeq, a predicted model, not a curated record